UACGUAGGGUGCAAGCGUUAUCCGGAAUUAUUGGGCGUAAAGAGCUCGUAGGCGGUUUGUCGCGUCUGCUGUGAAAACCCGAGGCUCAACCUCGGGCCUGCAGUGGGUACGGGCAGACUAGAGUGCGGUAGGGGAGAUUGGAAUUCCUGGUGUAGCGGUGGAAUGCGCAGAUAUCAGGAAGAACACCCGUGGCGAAGGCGGCUCUCUGGAACGCAACUGACGCUGAGACGCGAAAGCGUGGGGAGCAAACAGG
Molecule: ribosomal RNA, 253 nt
Filed under: uncultured bacterium
Lineage: Bacteria
Description: partial 16S ribosomal RNA
Rfam family: Bacterial small subunit ribosomal RNA
Source: RNAcentral